CCCGGAGCGGUGGCGCAUGCCUGUAGUCCCAGCUACUGGGCAGGAUCGCUUGAGCCCAGGAGUUCUGGGCUGCGUGCGCUAUGCCGGUCGGGUGUCCGCACUAAGUUCGGCAUCAAUAUGGUGAUCUUCUGGGAGCGGGGGACCACCAGGUUGCCUAAGGAGGGGUGAACCGGCCCAGGUCGGAAACGGAGCAGGUAAAAACUCCCGUGCUGAUCAGUAGUGGGAUCGCGCCUGUGAAUAGCCACUGCACUCCAGCCUGGGCAACGUAGUGAGA
Molecule: signal recognition particle RNA, 274 nt
Filed under: Cebus imitator (Panamanian white-faced capuchin)
Lineage: Eukaryota; Metazoa; Chordata; Mammalia; Primates; Cebidae
Description: Metazoan signal recognition particle RNA (ENSCCAG00000002731.1)
Rfam family: Metazoan signal recognition particle RNA
About the family: The signal recognition particle (SRP) is a universally conserved ribonucleoprotein. It is involved in the co-translational targeting of proteins to membranes.
Source: RNAcentral